UGUUUGGUGGCUGAGUAGAAGUGAUAGACUGUAGAUUUAUUAACGGAGUUAAAUCUCCCCAACA
RNAcentral lists this transfer RNA (64 nucleotides) under Aeneator elegans. Its description in RNAcentral is "tRNA-Tyr". The record is from RNAcentral. Lineage: Eukaryota; Metazoa; Mollusca; Gastropoda; Neogastropoda; Buccinidae.